RNAcentral lists this ribosomal RNA (253 nucleotides) under uncultured bacterium. RNAcentral's name for it is "partial 16S ribosomal RNA". It matches the Rfam family "Bacterial small subunit ribosomal RNA", at positions 524 to 776 of the family's 1533-position model. The record is from RNAcentral.
UACGUAGGGUGCAAGCGUUGUCCGGAAUCAUUGGGCGUAAAGAGCUCGUAGGCGGUUUGUUGCGUCGGCUGUGAAAUCCCGAGGCUCAACCUCGGGUCUGCAGUCGAUACGAGCAAACUAGAGUGUUGCAGGGGAGACUGGAAUUCCUGGUGUAGCGGUGAAAUGCGCAGAUAUCAGGAGGAACACCGGUGGCGAAGGCGGGUCUCUGGGCAACAACUGACGCUGAGGAGCGAAAGCGUGGGGAGCGAACAGG